RNAcentral lists this ribosomal RNA (507 nucleotides) under uncultured archaeon. RNAcentral describes it as "bacterial SSU rRNA". It matches the Rfam family "Archaeal small subunit ribosomal RNA", at positions 19 to 500 of the family's 1478-position model. The record is from RNAcentral.
GGACCCUACUGCUAUCGGGAUGGGACUAAGACAUGUUAGUCGUGCGCCUCCUAGCCAUGUUGGAGGCGCGGCGCACAGCUCAGUAACACGUGGCUAACUUACCCUUUGGACAGAAAUAACCCCGGGAAACUGGGGACAAUUUCUGAUAGGUGAAGGCUCCUGGAAUGGACUUUCGCUCAAAGGACGUUCAAGCCAUGCUUUUGGACGUCGCCCAAGGAUUGGGCCGCGGCCGAUCAGGUUGUUGGUGAGGUAAUGGCUCACCAAGCCUUUGACCGGUACGGGCCGUGAGAGCGGUAGCCCGGAGAUGGGUACUGAGACAAGAACCCAGGCCCUACGGGGCGCAGCAGUCGCGAAACCUUCACAAUAAGCGAAAGCUUGAUGGGGCUAUCCCGAGUGCCAUCUGCUGAGGAUGGCUUUUACCCAGUGUAGAUAGCUGGGGGAAUAAGGAGAGGGCAAGUCUGGUGUCAGCCGCCGCGGUAAUACCAGCUCUCCGAGUGGUGGGGAUGC